Molecule: ribosomal RNA, 400 nt
Filed under: uncultured bacterium
Lineage: Bacteria
Description: bacterial SSU rRNA
Rfam family: Bacterial small subunit ribosomal RNA
Source: RNAcentral
GGAAUAUUGCUUAAUGGGCGAAAGCCUGAAGCAGCAACGCCGCGUGGACGAAGGAGGCCUUCGGGUCGUAAAGUCCUUUUAUAGGGGAAAAGGAAGGAUGGUACCCUAUGAAUAAGUCUCGGCUAACUACGUGCCAGCAGCCGCGGUAAAACGUAGGAGACGAGCGUUAUCCGGAUUUACUGGGCGUAAAGCGCGUGUAGGAGGCAAUACAAGUUGGAUGUAAAAUCUCCCGGCUUAACUGGGAGGCGUCGUUCAAGACUGUAUAGCUGGAGUAGUGGAGAGGUAAUCGGAACUCCGGGAGUAGCGGUGAAAUGCGUAGAUAUCCGGAAGAACACCAGAGGCGAAAGCGGAUUACUGGCCACCAACUGACACUAAGACGCGAAAGCCAGGGUAGCAAACG